RNAcentral lists this transfer RNA (83 nucleotides) under Haliotis rubra (blacklip abalone). RNAcentral describes it as "tRNA-Leu". It matches the Rfam family "tRNA". From Rfam's summary of the family: Transfer RNA (tRNA) molecules are approximately 80 nucleotides in length. Their secondary structure includes four short double-helical elements and three loops (D, anti-codon, and T loops). Further hydrogen bonds mediate the characteristic L-shaped molecular structure. tRNAs have two regions of fundamental functional importance: the anti-codon, which is responsible for specific mRNA codon recognition, and the 3' end, to which the tRNAs corresponding amino acid is attached (by aminoacyl-tRNA synthetases). tRNAs cope with the degeneracy of the genetic code in two manners: having more than one tRNA (with a specific anti-codon) for a particular amino acid; and 'wobble' base-pairing, i.e. permitting non-standard base-pairing at the 3rd anti-codon position. The record is from RNAcentral. Lineage: Eukaryota; Metazoa; Mollusca; Gastropoda; Lepetellida; Haliotidae.
AGCACGGUGGCCGAGUGGUUGUGGCGUUGGACUUAAGAUCCAAUGGACGUAUGUCCGCGUGGGUUCGAACCCCACCCGUGCUA